This 189-nucleotide ribosomal RNA is filed under the name uncultured Prevotellaceae bacterium. RNAcentral's name for it is "partial 16S ribosomal RNA". It matches the Rfam family "Bacterial small subunit ribosomal RNA", at positions 338 to 524 of the family's 1533-position model. The record is from RNAcentral. Lineage: Bacteria; Pseudomonadati; Bacteroidota; Bacteroidia; Bacteroidales; Prevotellaceae.
UUUAGGGGAGGCAGCAGUGAGGAAUAUUGGUCAAUGGGCGGAAGCCUGAACCAGCCAAGUAGCGUGCAGGAUGACGGCCCUAUGGGUUGUAAACUGCUUUUAUGCGGGGGUAAAGUGAGUGACGUGUCAUUCAUUGCAAGUACCGCAAGAAUAAGGACCGGCUAAUUCCGUGCCAGCAGCCGCGGUAAU